RNAcentral lists this long non-coding RNA (458 nucleotides) under Prunus persica (peach). Its description in RNAcentral is "long non-coding RNA (PPER_LNC001716)". The record is from RNAcentral. Lineage: Eukaryota; Viridiplantae; Streptophyta; Magnoliopsida; Rosales; Rosaceae.
AGAGGAAGAGAUAAGGGAGGAGAAGUGGGUGGUUUGAGUAAUUUUCUGGCAGCUUGACGAAAACUUCGUUAGGCUCUGGAAUGGCUUGCCAGAAGAGAAGAUGGGAAGAGAUGGAGGAAUAUGGCUCAAAAUUGAAGAGUUCCAGGGAUGAGAGAUGAUGCUUGCUUUAUCUGGAUGUGGGUUAGAUGACGGGUAAAAGAUGCCCAUUUUUAUAGGCGCUGGAAGCUCAUUCUUCCCAAGAAACCCUAGCAAGUUUCUCCCCAAUUAGCCAAGUCUCCCCCUUAAUUUCUCUUCUCUUCCUUUGACUCAUCCCCAUUUGGUGAAAUCUUCCUUAGCCCAAACACACAGGAACAAGAUUUUUGGAGGCUCUAGAGCCUUCCAGCAAUUUUCCCUGUGACAUCUCUUAUUUUGGGAUGCCCUUUCUCUUUCUUUUCUCCUUAAUUUUAUGAUAAUAGCUG